RNAcentral lists this ribosomal RNA (1067 nucleotides) under uncultured bacterium. RNAcentral describes it as "bacterial SSU rRNA". It matches the Rfam family "Bacterial small subunit ribosomal RNA", at positions 40 to 1074 of the family's 1533-position model. The record is from RNAcentral.
CUGCGGCCGUCUAUAAUGCAAGUCGAGCGAGCAGAACCAGCAGGUUUACUUCGGUAAUGACGCUGGGGACGCGAGCGGCGGAUGGGUGAGUAACACGUGGGGAACCUGCCCCAUAGUCUGGAAUACCACUUGGAAACAGGUGCUAAUACCGGAUAAGAAAGCAGAUCGCAUGAUCAGCUUAUAAAAGACGGCGUAAGCUGUCGCUAUGGGAUGGCCCCGCGGUGCAUUAGCUAGUUGGCAAGGUAACGGCUUACCAAGGCAAUGAUGCAUAGCCGAGUUGAGAGACUGAUCGGCCACAUUGGGACUGAGACACGGCCCAAACUCCUACGGGAGGCAGCAGUAGGGAAUCUUCCACAAUGGACGCAAGUCUGAUGGAGCAACGCCGCGUGAGUGAAGAAGGUUUUCGGAUCGUAAAGCUCUGUUGUUGGUGAAGAAGGAUAGAGGUAGUAACUGGCCUUUAUUUGACGGUAAUCAACCAGAAAGUCACGGCUAACUACGUGCCAGCAGCCGCGGUAAUACGUAGGUGGCAAGCGUUGUCCGGAUUUAUUGGGCGUAAAGCGAGCGCAGGCGGAAGAAUAAGUCUGAUGUGAAAGCCCUCGGCUUAACCGAGGAACUGCAUCGGAAACUGUUUUUCUUGAGUGCAGAAGAGGAGAGUGGAACUCCAUGUGUAGCGGUGGAAUGCGUAGAUAUAUGGAAGAACACCAGUGGCGAAGGCGACUCUCUGGUCUGCAACUGACGCUGAGGCUCGAAAGCAUGGGUAGCGAACAGGAUUAGAUACCCUGGUAGUCCAUGCCGUAAACGAUGAGUGCUAAGUGUUGGGAGGUUUCCGCCUCUCAGUGCUGCAGCUAACGCAUUAAGCACUCCGCCUGGGGAGUACGACCGCAAGGUUGAAACUCAAAGGAAUUGACGGGGGCCCGCACAAGCGGUGGAGCAUGUGGUUUAAUUCGAAGCAACGCGAAGAACCUUACCAGGUCUUGACAUCUAGUGCCAUCCUAAGAGAUUAGGAGUUCCCUUCGGGGACGCUAAGACAGGUGGUGCAUGCUGUCGUCAGCUCGUGUCGUGAGAUG